AAAUACUUCGGUUCCCCGCCGCUUCCAGCGCGCGUUGUUUCCGGUAUUGGGCGCUUCCCGAUCCACACAAUUGAUUGGACCAGGUCUCCUGAAAUGCAAUAGCGAUGGAUCGCAAAACGCGACCGGCUACGGCGUACUAAGUUGGGCUUUGCCUGACAAACCUUCGCCUAGAUGCCACGCAGCUUUGCCUUUGCUCACGCAGGAAACGAUCAUUCCGGUGAUCAACC
RNAcentral lists this unclassified non-coding RNA (227 nucleotides) under uncultured Ascomycota. Its description in RNAcentral is "sequence contains ITS2". Lineage: Eukaryota; Fungi; Ascomycota. The record is from RNAcentral.